RNAcentral lists this small nuclear RNA (107 nucleotides) under Tursiops truncatus (common bottlenose dolphin). Lineage: Eukaryota; Metazoa; Chordata; Mammalia; Artiodactyla; Delphinidae. The record is from RNAcentral.
GUGCCCCCUUUGACGGCAUAUAUACUAAAAUUGGAAUGAUACGGAAAAGACUGGCAUGGCCGCUGUGCAAGGAUGACAUGCCAAUUUGUGAAGGAUUUCACAUGUUU